This 518-nucleotide ribosomal RNA is filed under the name uncultured bacterium. Its description in RNAcentral is "bacterial SSU rRNA". It matches the Rfam family "Bacterial small subunit ribosomal RNA", at positions 8 to 518 of the family's 1533-position model. The record is from RNAcentral.
AGGGUUCGAUUCUGGCUCAGGAUGAACGCUAGCGACAGGCUAACACAUGGCAAGUCGAGGGGCAGCACGGGAGUAGCAAUACAACUGGUGGCGACCGGCGCACGGGUGAGUAACGCGUAUGCAACCUACCUAUCAGAGGGGAAUAACCCGGCGAAAGUCGGACUAAUACCGCAUAAAACAGGGGCACCGCAUGGUGAUAUUUGUUAAAGAAAUUCGCUGAUAGAUGGGCAUGCGUUCCAUUAGGUAGUUGGUGAGGUAACGGCUCACCAAGCCGACGAUGGAUAGGGGAACUGAGAGGUUGGUCCCCCACACUGGUACUGAGACACGGACCAGACUCCUACGGGAGGCAGCAGUGAGGAAUAUUGGUCAAUGGGCGAGAGCCUGAACCAGCCAAGUCCGCGUGAAGGAAGAAGGAUCUAUGGUUCGUAAACUUCUUUGCAGGGAAUAAAGUGCGGGACGUGUCCUGUUUUGUAUGUACCCUGAGAAUAAGGAUCGGCUAACUCCGUGCCAGCCGCCGC